This is a long non-coding RNA of Mytilus californianus (California mussel), 1475 nucleotides long. RefSeq lists it as uncharacterized. The record is from RefSeq and is a predicted model, not a curated record. NCBI's taxonomy places the organism in Eukaryota, Metazoa, Mollusca, Bivalvia, Mytilida, Mytilidae. The transcript is spliced from 3 exons.
UUUCCUUUUCAUAUAUUGAAUACACUAUUUACACCAACCACUGGUGAAUUAUAUUCGGAUUUCGGUCUUAGGUAUCCGUCCUUGUCUCCGGGAAUAUUAUACCCACACAAGUUGUCAACAUCCGUUUUCAAACUGUUCAAAGUGUUCUUCACAAUCUCACUGGAAAAUAUUCACGCUAUCACUUCGUGCUCAGAUAAUAGAACAUUGUAAACCUCUAACAGCAAAUACGGACCAAAAUUAAUCAAUUUUGAAAGCACGGAUGAUCACGUGUAAUGCCGACUGAUGGAGAAAGAUGUUCACUAUGGAUCAAUAAUUCAAAACAGAGGACCUUUUUAUUAAAACAAAAAUACUUGUAUAUGUAUGAUAUUCUGUACAUACAACAAGAAAACAGUAAUCAAAUGGAAUGUCCAGUAUUGUUGAAAGCAAAAUUAUUUUUGUUAACAGAAAACAAUAGGACUGCAAUAUAUUAAGGUACACAACACAUGGUGUCCGAAGAAUAAUUUUACUGAAUGAUAAAAAAUUUAAUACCUGGAAUCAGCAAUUUACAAAAUGUAUAUGAAAUUUAUUAAGAGAGAUAUAUUCAUGUACAGAAUGGUAACCCCACCAAAUAACCCAGGUGGUUCAAGUGAUUAUUAGCAGACAUUUUUGUUGAACUAAUGCAGGAUUAAAUAAAUGAAGCUUUAGCAGACUAUGGUCUCCAAAGUGUAGUAUAAAAAAGAGGAUUUUUAAAUAUGUGAGACUCAUCAACAUUAAAAUGUGCAUAAGUGAAAUGUUACAAUAUUUAGUAAAAAAUUCAGAUUAUUGACUCAGUUGUGUUCAUGAAAUUUUUUAUCAAAACAAUAUCACUGUUAUAUAAUUAAUAAGAUUCCAUAUGUUCUAUUUUAUACUUUUGACAACCGAAUAUAUCUUCCCUCUGGCCUCAAGUGUUUCCCUUUUAUUUUGUAUGAGUGUAAUUUACAGAAAGCUCACUUUGCUUAAGGCGAAUUCACGUUUUGCCUUUCCAGAAUUAUUGGACUUUAUUCAUGGAAAAUUAGACAUUUACCCAUAUGUUGUAGAAGAACUCAAUUUUGCUUUAAUACUUUUUCAAGAAUUUGUAUCACAAGGCUAGAUUUGAUCAAAUAAUCUCACUUUUGAAUAUUUAUCACAUAUCACAUACUUAAAUAAUCUAGUAUGCUUAGAUUGAUUUCCUUCACUUUUGCCCUGUUGUUGAGAUUGAGUGAAAUAAUUUAAUUAUUUUAUCCCUAUCAAUUUGGGGUGAGGAUCUGUGUCCCAUCGGGACCGACAUUCAACACUGCAUAACUAUAUCCUAUCACAAGUUAUGAUACAGCCAACCAUAUAACAUAGCCCCUGCCACUGAAAUGAGAAAAGAGGUGCACAACAUACAAAAAAAUAUUUCAUAUGGCUAGCUUCAUUGUAUCCUUUGAAUAUUUCAUUGAUUUUUUGUCAGUAGUUAUUUAUUAAAGGUACUACAGUUC